This 1308-nucleotide long non-coding RNA is filed under the name Gallus gallus (chicken). Its description in RNAcentral is "lncRNA (ENSGALG00010002327.1)". The record is from RNAcentral. Lineage: Eukaryota; Metazoa; Chordata; Aves; Galliformes; Phasianidae.
GGAAACAUGGAAUAAAAUAUGUGUAAACCCUGGUGUAGAAUGCUAAUAAAACCUGAUGUAAACUGUGAGUAAAGAUAGAGAAAACUGUGAGUAAAACCCAAACUAAAGGGUGUGUAAGCCCGGAGUAAAUAGUGAGGAAACCAGGUGUAAAUUGUGAGUAAACACAAAGUAAACAUGAGAGUAAAACCUGGAGCAUAUUGUUAGGAACCCCGGAGUAAAUUGUGAUUUAAUUCCUGAGUAAAGUGAGAGUAAACCCAGAGAAAAGUAUGAAUGAACCUGGAUUGAAAUGUGUGUAAACCCGGAGUAAAGGGUUAGUAAAGCUAGAGUAAAGUGUGAGUAAUACCCUGAGUAAGGUGUGACUAAACCCAAAGUAAAGCGUGAGUAAACCAAGAGUAAAGUGUGCGUAACCAUGAAGUAAAGAGUGAGUAAACCUGGAGUAAAGAGUGAACAAAGCUUGGAGUAAACUGUGAGGAAACAUGGAGUAAAAUAUGUGUAAACCCUGGCGUAGAAUGUGAGCAAAACCUGAUGUAAACUGUGAGUAAAGCUAGAGAAAAGUGUGAGUAAACCCAAAGUAAAGGGUGUGUAAGCCCGGAGUAAAUAGUGCGGAAACCUGGUGUAAAUUGUGAGUAAACCCAAAGUAAACAUAUGAGUUAAACCUGGCAUACAUUGCUAGGAAACCCGGUGUAAAGUGUGAGUAAAGUGAGAGUAAAGUGAGAGUAAACCUAGAGAAAAGUGUGAGUACACCAGGAUUAUAGUGUGAGUAAGCCCGGAAUAAAGGGUUAGUAAAGCUAGAGUAAAGUGUGAGUAAUACCCUGAGUAAGGUGUGACUAAACCCAAAGUAAAGUGUGAGUAAACCCGGAGUAACUUGUGCUUAACCAUGUAGUAAAGAGUGAGUAAACCUGGAGUAAAGAGGGAACAAAGCUUGGAGAAAACUGUGAGGAAACAUGGAAUAAAGUAUGUGUAAACUGUGGUGUAGAAUGUGAGUUAAACCUGAUGUAAAAUGUGAGUAAAGCUAGAGAAAAGUGUGAGUAAAACCAAAGUAAAGCGUAUAUAAGCCCGGAGUAAAUAGUGAGGAAACCUGGUGUAAAUUGUGAGUAAACCCAAAGUAACCUUGAGGGUAAAACCUGGAGCAUCUUGUUAGGAACCCCGGAGUAAAUUGUGAGUAAAGCCCUGAGUAAAGUGAGAGUAAACCCAGAGAAAAGUGUGAGUAAACCUUUGCUACUGCAAAGCCCGUGGGCCCUCGGUGUGCAGGGACACUGCUCUCCCCCCAUCCGCCCAGCCUGUGAUGCCAUCAUAGAAGGCUACCAG